Molecule: ribosomal RNA, 462 nt
Filed under: Triticum aestivum (bread wheat)
Lineage: Eukaryota; Viridiplantae; Streptophyta; Magnoliopsida; Poales; Poaceae
Description: partial small subunit ribosomal RNA
Source: RNAcentral
ACAGCGGGAGGUCGAGCCCAAGCAUGAGGACGUACGGCCGCCGGACAAACACCGCCUCGCCGUAUUGGCCGCUUCCGCCCCUGGACAUCGCGGCGGCUGUGCGGCCGCUCCGCCUUGGCCCCUGCCGCCCAUGCGGACGUGGCGCCUCGCCGUAUUCACUGCUGACCUCGCCGCCGCUCGUGCGGCCGCGGCGCCUCGCCCUAUUUGCCGUUGACCUCGCGGGGGCUCGUGCGGCUGCGGCGCCUCGCCGUAUUCACCGCUGACCUUGCCGGCACUCGUGCGGCCGCGUCGUCUCGCCGUAUUGGUCGCUGCCGCUAGGGAGGAGCCGCCGGCGAGGAGGGGAAGCGGCAGGGCAGAGUAGGGAGGCGAGGCGCCGGGGAUAGUGGGCUGCCGCGAGGAAGGAGCCGCCGGCGAGGGGAAGCGGCAGGGCAGAGUAGGGAGGCGAGGCGCAGGGGAUAGGAU